RNAcentral lists this ribosomal RNA (234 nucleotides) under uncultured bacterium. RNAcentral describes it as "partial 16S ribosomal RNA". It matches the Rfam family "Bacterial small subunit ribosomal RNA", at positions 118 to 351 of the family's 1533-position model. The record is from RNAcentral.
UGACCAACCUGCCUCGCUCUCCGGGAUAACCUCUGGAAACGGCGGCUAAUACCGGGUACUCCGCGCACGGGGCAUCCCGCGCGCGGGAAAGCGCAUGCGGAGCGAGAUGGGGUCGCGGCCCAUUAGGUAGACGGCGGGGUGACGGCCCACCGUGCUCGCGAUGGGUAGCCGGACUGAGAGGUCGAUCGGCCACGUUGGGACUGAGAUACGGCCCAGACCUCCUACGGGAGGCAG